This 77-nucleotide transfer RNA is filed under the name Alphaproteobacteria bacterium. RNAcentral's name for it is "tRNA-Pro". It matches the Rfam family "tRNA". From Rfam's summary of the family: Transfer RNA (tRNA) molecules are approximately 80 nucleotides in length. Their secondary structure includes four short double-helical elements and three loops (D, anti-codon, and T loops). RNAcentral also lists the same sequence under 1 other name. The record is from RNAcentral. Lineage: Bacteria; Pseudomonadati; Pseudomonadota; Alphaproteobacteria.
CGGGUUAUAGCGCAGCUUGGUAGCGCAUCCGUCUGGGGGGCGGAAGGUCGCAGGUUCAAAUCCUGCUAACCCGACCA